GACGAACGCUGGCGGCGUGCUUAACACAUGCAAGUCGAACGAAGCUUGAUUACGGAUUCUUCGGAUGAAGUAUGAUAUGACUGAGUGGCGGACGGGCGAGUAACGCGUGAGUAACCUGCCCUUCAGAGGGGGAUAGCGUUUGGAAACGAACGGUAAUACCGCAUAAUGUAUUUUGACCGCAUGAUCGAAAUACCAAAGAUUUAUCGCUGAAGGAUGGACUCGCGUCUGAUUAGGUAGUUGGUGGGGUAACGGCCUACCAAGCCGACGAUCAGUAGCCGGACUGAGAGGUUGAUCGGCCACAUUGGGACUGAGACACGGCCCAGACUCCUACGGGAGGCAGCAGUGGGGAAUAUUGCACAAUGGGCGCAAGCCUGAUGCAGCAACGCCGCGUGAAGGAAGACGGUUUUCGGAUUGUAAACUUCUGUUCUUAGUGAAGAAUAAUGACGGUAGCUAAGGAGCAAGCCACGGCUAACUACGUG
RNAcentral lists this ribosomal RNA (479 nucleotides) under uncultured bacterium. RNAcentral describes it as "partial 16S ribosomal RNA". It matches the Rfam family "Bacterial small subunit ribosomal RNA", at positions 28 to 507 of the family's 1533-position model. The record is from RNAcentral.